Molecule: ribosomal RNA, 200 nt
Filed under: uncultured bacterium
Lineage: Bacteria
Description: partial 16S ribosomal RNA
Rfam family: Bacterial small subunit ribosomal RNA
Source: RNAcentral
UACGGAGGGUGCAAGCGUUAUCCGGAUUCACUGGGUUAAAGGGUGCGUAGGCGGCGGUAAGUCAGUGGUGAAAUCUCCGAGCUUAACUCGGAAACUGCCGUUGAUACUAUUGUCUUGAAUAUUGUGGGAGGUAAGCGGAAUAUGAUCAUGUAGCGGUGAAAUGCUUAGAUAUGAACAUAGAACACCAAUUGCGAAAGGCA